CGACGAUCAGUAGCCGGCCUGAGAGGGCGACCGGCCACAUUGGGACUGAGACACGGCCCAAACUCCUACGGGAGGCAGCAGUGGGGAAUAUUGCACAAUGGGGGAAACCCUGAUGCAGCGACGCCGCGUGAAGGACGAAGUAUUUCGGUACGUAAACUUCUAUCAGCAGGGAAGAAAAUGACGGUACCUGACCAAGAAGCCCCGGCUAACUACGUGCCAGCAGCCGCGGUAAUACGUAGGGGGCAAGCGUUAUCCGGAUUUACUGGGUGUAAAGGGAGCGUAGACGGCCAUGCAAGUCUGAUGUGAAAACCCGGGGCUCAACCCCGGGACUGCAUUGGAAACUGUGCGGCUGGAGUGUCGGAGAGGCAAGUGGAAUUCCUAGUGUAGCGGUGAAAUGCGUAGAUAUUAGGAGGAACACCAGUGGCGAAGGCGGCUUGCUGGACGACGACUGACGUUGAGGCUCGAAAGCGUGGGGAGCAAACAGGAUUAGAUACCCUGGUAGUCCACGCCGUAAACGAUGACUGCUAGGUGUCGGG
RNAcentral lists this ribosomal RNA (536 nucleotides) under uncultured bacterium. RNAcentral's name for it is "bacterial SSU rRNA". It matches the Rfam family "Bacterial small subunit ribosomal RNA", at positions 274 to 827 of the family's 1533-position model. The record is from RNAcentral.